Molecule: ribosomal RNA, 497 nt
Filed under: uncultured bacterium
Lineage: Bacteria
Description: partial 16S ribosomal RNA
Rfam family: Bacterial small subunit ribosomal RNA
Source: RNAcentral
GAUGAACGCUGGCGGCGUGCCUAAUACAUGCAAGUCGAGCGAACAGACGAGGAGCUUGCUCCUCUGACGUUAGCGGCGGACGGGUGAGUAACACGUGGAUAACCUACCUAUAAGACUGGGAUAACUUCGGGAAACCGGAGCUAAUACCGGAUAAUAUAUUGAACCGCAUGGUUCAAUAGUGAAAGACGGUUUUGCUGUCACUUAUAGAUGGAUCCGCGCCGCAUUAGCUAGUUGGUAAGGUAACGGCUUACCAAGGCAACGAUGCGUAGCCGACCUGAGAGGGUGAUCGGCGACACUGGAACGGAGACACGGUCCAGACUCCUACGGGAGGCAGCAGUAGGAAAUCUUCCGCAAAGGGCGAAAGCCUGACGGAGCAACGGCGCGUGAGUGAUGAAGGUCUUCGGAUCGUAAAACUCUGUUAUUAGGGAAGAACAAAUGUGUAAGUAACUAUGCACGUCUUGACGGUACCUAAUCAGAAAGCCACGGCUAACUACGUG